AUUGACUGUCAUCUGGAGCAUCAUAAUUUCUCCAUCAUGACUCUCCAGGGAACUGCUAGUGUUUGACUCUGGGAAUCAACAGUUUCAGACUUAUAAUGCUGGAAAUAGACCAGUCUGAAUAAUUUCUGAAAUUUUCCCUCCCUGAUUCUUCAAGCCAUUCUCUUUGCCUCUCUGUAUCAAUGUCCUCUCAAGGGACUGGGCUUGAGGUUUUGAACAGCAAUAGCAUACAGGUCUGACUCAUUUUCCUAUAUGCAGGGCUCAGCAGUUCUAAGCCAGGUGUGAUUGUUGGUGCAAGGGAAUAGCCUUUGAUGAUGAAGAGACAGCAGCCUAGGUGAGGGAGGAAGGGGGAAGCCAUUGUGGGAAAAAACCGCACAUCUGUUUGGCAAGACUUUUCAGAAUUUCGUCCUAAAUUCUUUCCUUAAAUGCUUACAGAGCUCUCAAGCUGACCUUACUUUUGUCUUGGAGCUCAGGCUGAGCUGCUCUGUGAGAGACUCCAGAAUACGAUGGCUUGAACAGUAGAAGAAUUUACUUCCCGACACUGAAGGACUCACCCUUCCCCAGGAGAGGAGGCUGGAUGACUCAUUGGCCCUUGCUGUUCUGAAAGCCGUGGCCCAGAACAGAAGGAAUAGAGAAUUCAGACAUGUGAAUUCAACUUCUACAGUUUAUUGGCAAAACAUUGAACUGACUUCUUUUCGUUCAUUGAAGUAUCUUUUGAUGGCUGUAUCUCCCUUUACGAAGGAAGUUGUGCUGCUCUCCAUAGAAAUAUCAAGAACAUACGGACCCUUCUCUUGAAUUGCCAAAAUCGUCUUACGUGCUCAUCUGCCUCAGCUUAUUCUCUGGGUAUGUCUCCCCACUCCCUGCGGUGUCCUUUUCCAUCCUCCUAUUUUCCUGGUCAUAAAUACUCACUUGGAUGGUACACAUCCUCAGUUUGUUGUUUUAGGGCUCAGUGAUGUUUAGGGAUGUGGCAGUAGUCUUCUCAGGACGAGUGGGGCCAGCCAGAUCCUGCUAGGAAGGAUUUGUACAGGGACGUGACACUGGAGAACUUCAG
Molecule: long non-coding RNA, 1048 nt
Filed under: Felis catus (domestic cat)
Lineage: Eukaryota; Metazoa; Chordata; Mammalia; Carnivora; Felidae
Description: lncRNA (ENSFCAG00000048354.1)
Source: RNAcentral